RNAcentral lists this signal recognition particle RNA (299 nucleotides) under Cebus imitator (Panamanian white-faced capuchin). Its description in RNAcentral is "Metazoan signal recognition particle RNA (ENSCCAG00000013351.1)". It matches the Rfam family "Metazoan signal recognition particle RNA". From Rfam's summary of the family: The signal recognition particle (SRP) is a universally conserved ribonucleoprotein. The record is from RNAcentral. Lineage: Eukaryota; Metazoa; Chordata; Mammalia; Primates; Cebidae.
GCCAGGUGCGGUGGCACGUGCCUAUAGUCCCAGCUACUCGGGAGGCUGAGGUGGGAGGAUCGCUUGAGCCCAGGAAUUCUGGGCUGUAGUGCGCUAUGCCGAUCGUGUGUCCGCACUAAGUUUGGCAUCAAUAUGGUGAGCCUCCGGGAGCAGGGGACCACCAGUUUGCCUAAGGAGGGGUGAACUGGCCCAGGUCGGAACCGGAGCAGGUCAAAACUCCCGUGCUGAUCAGUAGUGGGAUCGUGCCUGUGAAUAGCCACUGCACUCCAGCCUGGGCAACAUAGCCAGACCCCGUCUCU